RNAcentral lists this ribosomal RNA (227 nucleotides) under uncultured soil bacterium. RNAcentral's name for it is "partial 16S ribosomal RNA". It matches the Rfam family "Bacterial small subunit ribosomal RNA", at positions 26 to 250 of the family's 1533-position model. The record is from RNAcentral.
AGAUUGAACGCUGGCGGCAGGCCUAACACAUGCAAGUCGAGCGGCAGCACGGGUACUUGUACCUGGUGGCGAGCGGCGGACGGGUGAGUAAUGCCUAGGAAUCUGCCUGGUAGUGGGGGAUAACGCGUCGGAAACGGACGCUAAUACCGCAUACGUCCUACGGGAGAAAGCGAGGGACCUUCGGGCCUUGCGCUAUCAGAUGACGCCGUAGGUCGGAUUAGCUAGUU